AACGAACGCUGGCGGCAGGCCUAACACAUGCAAGUCGAGCGCGAAAGUACCUUCGGGUACAAGUAGAGCGGCGCACGGGUGAGUAACACGUGAAUAAUCUGCCUCUUGGACUGGAAUAGCGGCUGGAAACGGCCGGUAAUGCCGGAUAAGCCUACGAACCGUCGGGUUAGUAGGAAAAGUCUUCGGGCGCCAAGAGAUGAGUUCGCGGCCCAUUAGGUAGUUGGUGAGGUAACGGCUCACCAAGCCGACGAUGGGUAGCUGGUUUGAGAGAACGAUCAGCCACACUGGAACUGAGACACGGUCCAGACUCCUACGGGAGGCAGCAGUGGGGAAUCUUGCGCAAUGGGCGAAAGCCUGACGCAGCCAUGCCGCGUGAGCGACGAAGGCCUUCGGGUUGUAAAGCUCUGUCUAAGGGGACGAACACAAUGACGGUACCCUUAAAGAAAGCACCGGCUAACUCCG
This 462-nucleotide ribosomal RNA is filed under the name uncultured delta proteobacterium. RNAcentral describes it as "bacterial SSU rRNA". It matches the Rfam family "Bacterial small subunit ribosomal RNA", at positions 29 to 505 of the family's 1533-position model. Lineage: Bacteria; Deltaproteobacteria. The record is from RNAcentral.